Molecule: long non-coding RNA, 4022 nt
Filed under: Sus scrofa (pig)
Lineage: Eukaryota; Metazoa; Chordata; Mammalia; Artiodactyla; Suidae
Description: lncRNA (ENSSSCG00025051513.1)
Source: RNAcentral
CAUCCAGGGCAUCGCAUUAUACUCUGUCAUCAAGGAUGCUGCUGCAAGCCCUCAUCCAUCAGGGUGCUUCCUUGACUUUCUGUUUAAAAGAGAAAAUAUUAAUAUGUUGCAUUUCUUUAGAUGGCUUUAUGUAUGUGCAGUCGACUUUUUGAGCCAAUGCUUAAAGCCCUCACCUGGCCUGCCUUGUAACAAACUGUUAUGUCCAUGGGAGCUCUGGAUGAGCCUUGGGAUGCUGCCUGAGGCUGCAGGACAUUGUUUUGCUGUUUUGUGUUUUUUGUGUGAAGGUCAACUCCACCCACAGAUGAAUAGGCUUGAUGUGAGUUGUGAGUUGCUGCCUCCCUGUCUCAGCCUCAACAUUCUGUUCUGAGGUUGAGGUCAGAAAUCUUCACAAAUCUGCAUGAUGACCAGUGGCUGCACAGAGUCUGUAUCCCAACCAGAGGGCUCCAGGGGCUGUCUCUGUGAAGCUUAUUUUAAAUCUCCAAAUUAGCUAUACUAGACCAUCAGUAAAUUACAUGCCCAACUGCAAGAACCGUGCAUAAGCAAUGAUGCUUAAUGACUUAAUGUGAUGUUUUUAAUAGUCAAAAUCUUUCAAUUAUUUUUAUUGCUAUGAUGUUCCCACUCUAACAAAUUGUUUUUACUUUACUUGUGCUCUAUUUUAACAUGAACGAUUCCUGGAGGAGGUAAGUAUUUACUAAGCUUAUAUCUUUGGCCACUCAGGUACAAUGAGAAAAUACCAAGAGGUUAAAUUUUUUUAAAAACUCACUUUCUUUGCAACCAUAGAAAUUUUACAUUACAAUAUACCAUUGAAACAAGUUAGAUGGAUACAUAUAGCACAAUGUAAAUAUUUUAAUAAUAGGAUCCGAUUUUAAUAAAGGGAAUGAAGAAUGACAUAAAAUGUGUUCUGAAAACUUACAUAUUUUACUUGUUAUAUAUGACCAUACCUCACCUAUCCCUAGGUAAGUUAUCCAGAAACUUCAAGUGUAUUGGAGUUGCUGAAAAUCAACAAUACUUUAAAAAGGUCCAAUGACAGGGAAAGCUGAUUGUUCAUGUACUGGCACUAUGACCCUCCCACAUUUAACUGUAGGAGGAACAUCACACUGUCACGGUAUCCUGUCACUUCUUUCAGGUAUAAUUCUGACCAGCAUCUUCCUCUAUUUUCCCAAGCCGUACAUGAUAAGAAGAGCAAGUGAACAGGGGCAGAGAUAAAGAAAUGCUAGAAGUAAACACUCUGCUCCCAGUCCGAACACAGACAAUGAACAGAGAGAAAACUCUUAGAAGAGUGAACUUUAUGAACCCAGUCACCCGGGGAGGUCCUGAAUGGCUCUAGAAAGGUGCUGUGAGGCACAAAAGUCGUUCUUAAUGGUAUUUCUGAAACCUCUUUUUCAUUGCCUUUUUUUUUCUUUCUUUUUCAUUCUCUGUGUCUUUUUGCUUUGGGCCUGAUGUAUAAACAACCAGAAUAAUGGGGGAACAAUGUCAUAUACCAAGAAAUGUAGCCCAGAGAAAAAUGUGUUCAAAACAUCAUGCAGAGGAAGAACACAGCAAUGACUGGGGUCUGAUAACAGUGCCCAGGGGUCGGGGUGGAGGCAGACCUGCCCCAAAGGACAUAGAUGAACGUUCUUGGAAGCUUUUACUGUCUGUCAGACUGGACAGAGUUUACCAAAGAACAUAGUUAAGUAACAUCUUUGGGAGAAACCCAAAUGCUCUGUCCAUGAAGCCUCUUACCCCACUGUGUGGAUGUGUCUUAAAGUGGACAGGGGGCCCGGGGCUCAUCUGUCAGGGACUCUAGGUGUCCAUGGAGUGUGCAGUGUGGUCUCUGCUGGUGCAAAACAAGAGCUCCUGUACCUGACUGAGGAACAACCCUGAAGGAGUAAAGUGUGAUUACCCUUGUCUAGAAUGGGGCUGGGGUCAAGGCUGGGAGAACCAUGUGAGGAAAGUUGACUUAGUGGAGUUGAAACCAGAAGACUCUAUGUGUUGACCCUAACUGCAGGUCAGCAUAAACUUCCUAAGUCUCUGUUUCAUUAUUGGUAAAAUAAAAGUACUAAAAGCUAUCCUUCAGGUAAGGUUUCCUCUGAGGAUGGAAAGUGAUGAUUUAUGUGGUCGUAUUAAAAAAAAAAAAAGACAUCCAUUAAGAACGAUUAUAAAACUAAGCCCCAGGCAAUGUAAAUCUGAAUGUUUUGACAUAAUCACUCUGCUCAUCAUAAUUAGGUAAGCUAACUGGUAAGCAGUUAUACAAACGGCUGAACUGGAGACAGUUAAGAGACAGCUAAGCCAUGUUAAGAUGAGCUAGGAAGAGAAAAGGGGUAUGUGUCUCACUGGAGUUUGCUUCAAGGUUCUCUGAAGAACAGAGGUCAGGAGUGGGUGGGAUGUGCGUGGAUUUCUCCCUCCUCUGACCACAGGUCUCCAGUGACUGGGGUUCUGAGAGCCUGAGAAAGUCUGGAGGCAAAGGCUUGGCUCUGGGAUUCAGGCACACUUUAGUACAAGGACCAGCUGUAGCACUUACCAUCUGUGUGACCUCGGAUUGCCCUUAAUUUCCCCACUUACAAAGCUGUGAUAAAGACUCCCCAUGGAACUGGUUGUAGAAUGAAAAGCAAAUCAAAUCAAAUGUGGUGAUUCGAGCAUAUAUUUUUCUGCCCGCUGCGUGGAGCCAAGGUAGACACUGAGGUCCCAGGUCAGGUGUGGUUGUGGGCAGAGCAGCCUCUAGAGGGCGUGCACACUGGAGGAGGGGAGCCGCACAGGGCAGCCAUAAACUCCUUCUGUCUACACAGAAAGGAGAACCUCCUAGAGAUGGGAGCCUUUCCCUUCCUCUUUGGGAAGUAUGAAAAAUAAGCAGAAGUAUCUUUGCCCUUUGCCCUUACAUUCCACCAAUUAAAGAAUCACUUGAGUUUAUAAAUACUUCCUCACACCACUCCUCCUCUACCUAAGAGCACAGUAAGAGAUACCAGGGUUGUUCACUCUCACGUCAAUCAGUUCAAACAGCUUAUUUUUAAUGGUUCCUUAAAGGGAUAGACAAUUUAGUAAAAAUGGUAAAGUGGGGGGUGGGGCUAUGAACAGUACUUUGGGGUCUAGGCCAUUGAGGGGAGUGGAGUAUGAGUGAGGAACUGUCACAGCCAAGAGUGAAGGGGACACUGAAGGGAAGGGAAGUUAGUAGGGUGGAGGAAGCAAGGAGGGUCAACUGUCAGAGUCAAAAAAAAAAAAAGUCAAGUUCUGUUUUAUAAACUGAAAAUAAUCAGAUAGUAGAGAUAGAAGUGCGGAAGAUUUUCUCUUCUGGGGGCUUUACAAACAAAUGCCUUCAGGGGUCAUGCAGAGACUAUCAAUCAGGAAAGUGGGAUGGAUAUGAUAUAACAGAUACCAGAGGGGACAGUGGAGAGGUUAAGCAUCUGUGACUUUCCUAAAGGCAAUGUAAUUGUCUAUAGUCAUACUGCCCUUAACGUGUCUGAUACCUUCUAAAGAAAAUGUAAUUAAUUAAUUAAUAAUAAUACUGUGCUGGACAAAAGGACUUGAUUGUGGGAGGACUUCAUCCAGUCCCUUCAAUGUUAUAAAUAGAACUGCUAAGCAUUAAAAUAUAUAAGGAAAUAUUUUAUGAUGUGACCUUAUACAAAAAUAGCUCAAUCAGACCCUUUCCUCCAAGGACUUUAAAGUUGGGCCAAAUUUGAAUAUCCCACAAGAAAAGGGUUAGUUCCUGCCACUCUAGGAAAUCUUUAAAUUCUGGAGAACCCCAGGAGCUUCCCAGUUCCCCCUUCAGGUAAGAAUACUUUCAUCCUCCAAGACAACACAGGAGCAAACUGUGAGUACACCUAUAGAUUUCUCAAGGGAAAAUUAAAAUAUUUUAGGGCAAUUCUAGAUUCUCUGAGUCAUAAAUGGGCACUGAAAGAGGAUAGUUCACAAGCUGAUCCCAUUAAAACUCUAUCAAACCCUCCCCUGGAAAGCCUAAGUCACAGAAGAAGGAACAGACAGUGAGGAGCAUAAGGAUAAGCUUAAAAAGCAGCUAUGAAAAUGAAAGAUACAGAACACAAGCAGGUGAA